UAGCUUGCUAAUGAAAUUCUUAGUGGCGGACGGGUUAGUAACACGUGAGAAUCCUACCCUUGAGUGGGGAAUAGCCUUUCGAAAGGAAGAUUAAUGCCCCAUAGUCUCUACGGAGUAAAGAUGCCUUCGGGUGUUGCUUAAGGAUGGGCUCGCGGCCUAUCAGCUAGUUGGUGAGGUAAGAGCUCACCAAGGCAACGACGGGUAGCUGGUCUGAGAGGACGAUCAGCAACACUGGAACUGAGACACGGUCCAGACACCUACGGGUGGCAGCAGUCGAGAAUCAUUCACAAUGGACGAAAGUCUGAUGGUGCAACGCCGCGUGGAGGAUGACGGCCCUAGGGUUGUAAACUCCUGUCAUCAAGGAGUAAGACUUAUUCGUUAAUAGCGUGUAAGUUUGAUAGUACCUGAAGAGGAAGGGACGGCUAACUUCGUGCCAGCAGCCGCGGUAAUACGAAGGUCCCAAGCGUUGUUCGGAAUAACUGGGCGUAAAGCGUGUGUAGGCCGCGCGGAAAGUCGGAUGUGAAA
Molecule: ribosomal RNA, 525 nt
Filed under: uncultured Roseibacillus sp.
Lineage: Bacteria; Pseudomonadati; Verrucomicrobiota; Verrucomicrobiia; Verrucomicrobiales; Verrucomicrobiaceae
Description: bacterial SSU rRNA
Rfam family: Bacterial small subunit ribosomal RNA
Source: RNAcentral